AGGUUAAGUGAAUAAGGGCGCACGGUGGAUGCCUUGGCACUAGGAGCCGAUGAAGGACGGGACUAACACCGAUAUGCUUUGGGGAGCUGUAAGUAAGCUAUGAUCCAGAGAUUUCCGAAUGGGGGAACCCAGCAUCUUUUAUAGGAUGUUACACAGUUGUGAAUACAUAGCAGCUGUGAGGUAGACGCAGAGAACUGAAACAUCUAA
Molecule: ribosomal RNA, 207 nt
Filed under: Enterococcus gallinarum
Lineage: Bacteria; Bacillati; Bacillota; Bacilli; Lactobacillales; Enterococcaceae
Description: partial 23S ribosomal RNA
Rfam family: Bacterial large subunit ribosomal RNA
Source: RNAcentral